Molecule: ribosomal RNA, 459 nt
Filed under: uncultured bacterium
Lineage: Bacteria
Description: partial 16S ribosomal RNA
Rfam family: Bacterial small subunit ribosomal RNA
Source: RNAcentral
CUACGGGCUGCACCAGUAAGGAAUAUUGCGCAAUGGAGGCAACUCUGACGCAGCCAUGCCGCGUGCAGGAAGAAGGCCUUAUGGGUCGUAAACUGCUUUUAUUUAGGAAUAAACCCCCGAAUGUGUUCGGGGCUGAAGGUACUAAACGAAUAAGAACCGGCGAACUCCGUGCCAGCAGCCGCGGUAAUACGGAGGGUGCAAGCGUUAUCCGGAUUUAUUGGGUUUAAAGGGUGCGCAGGCGGGCUAUUAAGUCAGUGGUGAAAUCCCGGGGCUCAACUCCGGAACUGCCAUUGAUACUGAUAGUCUUGAGUUUGGUUGAAGUGGGCGGAAUGUAGCAUGUAGCGGUGAAAUGCAUAGAUAUGCUACAGAACACCAAUCGCGAAGGCAGCUCACUAAGCCAAAACUGACGCUCAUGCACGAAAGCGUGGGGAUCAAACAGGAUUAGAUACCCGGGUAGUC